GGUUAAGUGAAUAAGGGCGCACGGUGGAUGCCUUGGCACUAGGAGCCGAUGAAGGACGGGACUAACACCGAUAUGCUUCGGGGAGCUGUAAGUAAGCUUUGAUCCGGAGAUUUCCGAAUGGGGAAACCCAGCAUCUUUUAUAGGAUGUUACUUUUCAGUGAAUACAUAGCUGAUUAGAGGUAGACGCAGAGAACUGAAACAUCUAAGUACCUGCAGGAAGAGAAAGAAAAAUCGAUUCCCUGAGUAGCGGCGAGCGAAACGGGAAAAGCCCAAACCAAGAGGCUUGCCUCUUGGGGUUGUAGGACUCCGAUAUGGUAGUCCAGUGAGAUAGUCGAAGGACCUGGAAAGGUCUGCUAGAAAGGGUAAAAGCCCCGUAGACAAAAUUUGACUGGCACCUAGGAGGAUCCUGAGUACGGCGGAACACGAGGAAUUCCGUCGGAAUCCGGGAGGACCAUCUCCCAAGGCUAAAUACUCCCUAGUGACCGAUAGUGAACCAGUACCGUGAGGGAAAGGUGAAAAGCACCCCGGAAGGGGAGUGAAAUAGAUCCUGAAACCGUGUGCCUACAACAAGUUAGAGCCCGUUAAUGGGUGAUAGCGUGCCUUUUGUAGAAUGAACCGGCGAGUUACGAUUACUUGCGAGGUUAAGUUGAAAAGACGGAGCCGCAGCGAAAGCGAGUCUGAAUAGGGCGAAUGAGUAAGUGGUCGUAGACCCGAAACCAUGUGAUCUACCCAUGUCCAGGUUGAAGGUGCGGUAAAACGCACUGGAGGACCGAACCCACGUACGUUGAAAAGUGCGGGGAUGAGGUGUGGGUAGCGGAGAAAUUCCAAACGAACUUGGAGAUAGCUGGUUCUCUCCGAAAUAGCUUUAGGGCUAGCCUCAGAGUAAGAAUGAUGGAGGUAGAGCACUGUUUGGACUAGGGGCCCAUCUCGGGUUACCGAAUUCAGAUAAACUCCGAAUGCCAUCCAUUCAUCUCUGGGAGUCAGACUGUGAGUGAUAAGAUCCAUAGUCGAAAGGGAAACAGCCCAGACCACCAGCUAAGGUCCCCAAAUAACUAUUAAGUGGAAAAGGAUGUGGGGUUGCACAGACAACUAGGAUGUUGGCUUAGAAGCAGCCACCAUUUAAAGAGUGCGUAAUAGCUCACUAGUCGAGUGACCCUGCGCCGAAAAUGUACCGGGGCUAAAUAGUUUACCGAAGCUGUGGAAUNNNNNNNNNNNNNNNNNNNNNNNNNNNNNNNNNNNNNNNNNNNNNNNNNNNNNNNNNNNNNNNNNNNNNNNNNNNNNNNNNNNNNNNNNNNNNNNNNNUAGUACCGAAGUUCCUGAUGUCACACUGCCGAGAAAAGCUUCUAGUGAGAAAACAAUGGCCCGUACCGCAAACCGACACAGGUAGUCGAGGAGAGAAUCCUAAGGUGAGCGAGAGAACUCUCGUUAAGGAACUCGGCAAAAUGACCCCGUAACUUCGGGAGAAGGGGUGCUGAUCUAACGAUCAGCCGCAGUGAAUAGGCCCAAGCGACUGUUUAUCAAAAACACAGGUCUCUGCAAAAUCGAAAGAUGACGUAUAGGGGCUGACGCCUGCCCGGUGCUGGAAGGUUAAGAGGAGUGCUUAGCGUAAGCGAAGGUACGAAUUGAAGCCCCAGUAAACGGCGGCCGUAACUAUAACGGUCCUAAGGUAGCGAAAUUCCUUGUCGGGUAAGUUCCGACCCGCACGAAAGGCGUAACGAUUUGGGCACUGUCUCAACGAGAGACUCGGUGAAAUUUUAGUACCUGUGAAGAUGCAGGUUACCCGCGACAGGACGGAAAGACCCCAUGGAGCUUUACUGCAGUUUGAUAUUGAGUGUUUGUACCACAUGUACAGGAUAGGUAGGAGCCGUAGAAGUCGGGACGCUAGUUUCGACAGAGGCGCUGGUGGGAUACUACCCUUGUGUUAUGACCACUCUAACCCGCACCACUAAUCGUGGUGGGAGACAGUGUCAGAUGGGCAGUUUGACUGGGGCGGUCGCCUCCUAAAGAGUAACGGAGGCGCCCAAAGGUUCCCUCAGAAUGGUUGGAAAUCAUUCGCAGAGUGUAAAGGCACAAGGGAGCUUGACUGCGAGACCUACAAGUCGAGCAGGGACGAAAGUCGGGCUUAGUGAUCCGGUGGUUCCGCAUGGAAGGGCCAUCGCUCAACGGAUAAAAGCUACCCUGGGGAUAACAGGCUUAUCUCCCCCAAGAGUCCACAUCGACGGGGAGGUUUGGCACCUCGAUGUCGGCUCGUCGCAUCCUGGGGCUGUAGUCGGUCCCAAGGGUUGGGCUGUUCGCCCAUUAAAGCGGCACGCGAGCUGGGUUCAGAACGUCGUGAGACAGUUCGGUCCCUAUCCGUCGCGGGCGUUGGAAAUUUGAGAGGAUCUGUCCUUAGUACGAGAGGACCGGGAUGGACUUACCGCUGGUGUACCAGUUGUCUCGCCAGAGGCAUCGCUGGGUAGCUAUGUAGGGAAGGGAUAAACGCUGAAAGCAUCUAAGUGUGAAGCCCACCUCAAGAUGAGAUUUCCCAUUUCUUUAAGAAAGUAAGAUCCCUGAGAGAAGAUCAGGUAGAUAGGUCAGGAGUGGAAGUGCAGUGAUGUACGGAGCGGACUGAUACUAAUCGAUCGAGGACUUAACCAA
Molecule: ribosomal RNA, 2637 nt
Filed under: Enterococcus avium
Lineage: Bacteria; Bacillati; Bacillota; Bacilli; Lactobacillales; Enterococcaceae
Description: 23S ribosomal RNA
Rfam family: Bacterial large subunit ribosomal RNA
Source: RNAcentral